RNAcentral lists this unclassified non-coding RNA (517 nucleotides) under uncultured Glomus. Its description in RNAcentral is "SSU rRNA". It matches the Rfam family "Eukaryotic small subunit ribosomal RNA", at positions 569 to 1088 of the family's 1831-position model. Lineage: Eukaryota; Fungi; Glomeromycota; Glomeromycetes; Glomerales; Glomeraceae. The record is from RNAcentral.
AGCAGCCGCGGUAAUUCCAGCUCCAAUAGCGUAUAUUAAAGUUGUUGCAGUUAAAAAGCUCGUAGUUGAAUUUCGGGAUCAAUAUGUUGGUCGUGCCUCGGUACGUACUAGCAUAUUGGUUUCUCCUUUCUGAAGAGCCAUGAUGUCAUUUAUUUGGUGUCGUGGGGAAUCAGGACUGUUACUUUGAAAAAUUAGAGUGUUUAAAGCAGGCUCACGCUUGAAUACAUUAGCAUGGAAUAAUGAAAUAGGACGUUUGAUUCUAUUUUGUUGGUUUCUAGGAUCGACGUAAUGAUUAAUAGGGAUAGUUGGGGGCAUUAGUAUUCAAUUGUCAGAGGUGAAAUUCUUGGAUUUAUUGAAGACUAACUACUGCGAAAGCAUUUGCCAAGGAUGUUUUCAUUAAUCAAGAACGAAAGUUAGGGGAUCGAAGACGAUCAGAUACCGUCGUAGUCUUAACCAUAAACUAUGCCGACUAGGGAUCGGAUGAUGUUAACUUUUUAAUGACUCGUUCGGCGUACCG